UAAAUCCUAAUAAAUUUCUCAGA
This 23-nucleotide transfer RNA is filed under the name Pristimantis sp. SBH-2008. RNAcentral describes it as "partial tRNA-Phe". Lineage: Eukaryota; Metazoa; Chordata; Amphibia; Anura; Strabomantidae. The record is from RNAcentral.